GACGAACGCUGGCGGCGUGCCUAAUACAUGCAAGUCGAGCGAACCUGAUAAAAGCUUGCUUUUUGAAGGUUAGCGGCGGACGGGUGAGUAACACGUGGGCAACCUGCCUGUAAGACUGGGAUAACUUCGGGAAACCGGAGCUAAUACCGGAUAAUAUAAAGAACCUCCUGGUUCUUUAUUGAACGAUGGUUUCGGCUAACACUUACAGAUGGGCCCGCGGCGCAUUAGCUAGUUGGUGAGGUAACGGCUCACCAAGGCGACGAUGCGUAGCCGACCUGAGAGGGUGAUCGGCCACACUGGGACUGAGACACGGCCCAGACUCCUACGGGAGGCAGCAGUAGGGAAUCUUCCACAAUGGACGAAAGUCUGAUGGAGCAACGCCGCGUGAGCGAUGAAGGCCUUCGGGUCGUAAAGCUCUGUUGUUAGGGAAGAACAAGUACCGGAGUAACUGCCGGUACCUUGACGGUACCUAACCAGAAAGCCACGGCUAACUACGUGCCAGCCGCCGCCGUAA
This 514-nucleotide ribosomal RNA is filed under the name uncultured bacterium. RNAcentral's name for it is "partial 16S ribosomal RNA". It matches the Rfam family "Bacterial small subunit ribosomal RNA", at positions 28 to 523 of the family's 1533-position model. The record is from RNAcentral.